Molecule: long non-coding RNA, 2155 nt
Organism: Pipra filicauda (Wire-tailed manakin)
Lineage: Eukaryota; Metazoa; Chordata; Aves; Passeriformes; Pipridae
Exons: 4
Source: RefSeq, a predicted model, not a curated record
ACCAUCAAAUUACUUAUUCAAGUUUAUAAUGGAGUGAAAUAUUUGACACUACCCUUGUACAAGGUCAAAUUGUUCUCCAGAACUAUUGCUAUUAUUACAGAAAUUUUAAAGAAAGCGUUAUGAAAAUAAAAAUCCAGAAGAGUGUUCUUCAAUAUGCACAAUCAGGAAAAAAUUACUCCUUCGAAUCAGAUACUGACCACUCACAAAUUGCCUUUAUGCUGAAGGAUCCACCCCCCCAAAAUGGCUACUCAAGAGUCAUUACUGAAGUAGUGCACGAAUCCACCUGGAACAUUGCUUGUGAGUUUUGAGACUCCCAGGGCUAAUUCAGUGGGUUGCUCAUCUGAUUGCUUCAAUAUUAAACACACAGUUUGGCUCCUGCUACUGCUAUAGAAGACCAUUUCUGUUUGACUCCUGACAAAUGAGUAAUCACAUGGAGGUAGACAAUUCUCUUGUCUGGUAAGAUAUAAUUCUUUUUCAUUUCUUUCUAAGGAUCCUAGAAUGAAUCAUCCCUCUCUCUUCUCAUUACACUUAUAAAACUGUUAUUUUCUUUUUACACAAAAUGGGACCUUAGUUGUCAUCAAAACCUUACUAUUGUACUGAUGUAUUUAAGAAAUUUAUUUCUACACUAUUCAGUUCCUGAGUCUAACUAACAGAUUAAUUUGAAUGAAAAAGGCUUAUGAUCUGUAGCUGAUGAAGUUACAAGACCCAAUACUUUAUUGUUUGACACAAAUGAUAGUCAAAUAAAAACCAUACAGAAAAGGGAUAAACUAUUAUCAGAACAGAUUUUUUUGGGGGAAUGCAAGUGAGCACAUGGGAUGAGAUUCAGCAGUCAUAGGUCUCCCAUGUUAGUAGAUUUCAUGUCUGCAGGCAGAUUCUAGAUGACUAAUAGUAUUUUAUUAAAUGUACUUUCACUGAGCUUGUGAUUAUUUUGUAAAGGUAUUUUAAAAUAUAUUUUAUGUGUAAUAGGGACUUCAGAAUGUUACUUAACAGUCUCCACACCUCCUUUACUCUUACUUUUCCAGGAUAAUUAUUUUUUACCUGGUUUUGUAAUGUCAAUAAUAUUUCUUUUUCUGAAUGAUACAAAACUGUCAUAAUUCAGAAUGUGAAUCUACUUAUAUUGCAUUUGUUUCAUUUAAAUUAUAUUUUUAAAUUUUUUAAUCCUUUCUGCUGCUCUGUGUAAAUUUGCUAUACAUUGAAAAGUAUGUAAUUUCACAGUGAAACCAUUUUUAUCCAGUUAACUGUAGAUCAAUUUUGCUGAUUUCAGUUAAAUGAAAAUAAUAUUUUAAUUUUAUCUGGCUUUUUCAAGCAAUGUUUCAAUGCCACUCGAAUAUGAAAUUAAGAACUGAGUGUUGCUUAUAUGUAGAUUCUAAAUGGCUGUUUAGCUACAGAUUUUUUUGCCCGUGAGAACCUUUCAAAAUGGGUCCUCAAAGGUCAGUUUCAAGGGUACUAGGGACCCAAAACAAGACUCAGGAAGUUUCAAAAAAAUAUGUGUAUGGUUUUAAGUGUGGGUCCAGGCCCUUCGCCAAAUACACAUGGUUCCAUUUUUUGAGUGAUUCUGAAAAGCAGUAGAAGUGUUCUUGACAUUUCAUUCCUCUUCUUGCAGCAGUCAUGGGCCUGGGGAUGAUGUGGCCCUGAAUUUGUCAGUUUCAAGUCUGUUUUAUAUGCAUAUUCCAAAAGGUUCUUGGGGUGAUGCCUUAUGGUGAAUAUGGGGCAGAUAAGUCUGUUUGGGCUAUUCUGUACAGCUGAAUACCAUAUGCUGCAGGUGGCUUUGAUGUGUAUGGAACUGAUCAAUAGGGACUUUAGGACUCAUUUUAAGUCAUAUAGAGUGUAAUGGAUUUAAACUGUAUGGGCUGCUUGCCAAGGAACAUGCAUUAUCCUCCCUGUGAACCUGCUCUCUGCUGAGCAGUGCAAAUGUACACUACAGCCAGGAUUACUAUGUAAAGAAAUCUUUGCUUAGUAUCUGACUAUAUGUAAAAAUGUUUAAAAUUCAGUGUUCAUGUGCAGCCUGAAAUGUUCUUCUUAUUAUAAUUUCUUCUUUUUGUGCAUACCCAGAACUGCUCAGGCUAAGAUCAUCCACCUACACCUUAUUGGGAUCUAGAAUGUAGGAACUCAAUGAAGUUGAAUUAAGCAUAUAAUAAAAUGCUGCUGAAUCUGC